UUCCUCAUUUUCAACUGCAAGUUCAGCAUUGUCUCCUUCAGAAGAAAUUGGAAGCUCAGGUUUCAGGAUGCCUGGAAAAUCAACCAGUGCAAAUUUUUGUCAAUAUUUCAAACAGAAAUUGGAAUAUGACUAUAUUAAAAAUCUUUAUAUGUAGCCUAGAAAUCGGUAAGAGGUGGAAACAUGCCAACUGUGGAUGACCCUUCAGGAGAAGUUUCCUCAGCAUAGUCUUCUCUGACCUCUACAAGACCUUCCUGUCAAAAGUUCAGUUCGCCAUCAAAUUCAUAAAUUUGUACAUAACAUCGAUCAAUAUCUGAAAAAAGAUAUAAAUAAGCAAAGUUUGUACUGCCAAACAAAA
Molecule: long non-coding RNA, 355 nt
Filed under: Nicotiana benthamiana
Lineage: Eukaryota; Viridiplantae; Streptophyta; Magnoliopsida; Solanales; Solanaceae
Description: long non-coding RNA (NBEN_LNC012771)
Source: RNAcentral